Long non-coding RNA from Ipomoea nil (Japanese morning glory), 589 nucleotides. RefSeq lists it as uncharacterized. Lineage: Eukaryota; Viridiplantae; Streptophyta; Magnoliopsida; Solanales; Convolvulaceae. The record is from RefSeq and is a predicted model, not a curated record. The transcript is spliced from 3 exons.
GAGAAGAGGAGAAGAAGAAAGGGCUUUCUCUUUCUCCUGCUGAUUCUAUCUGUGUCCAAAGGAAGAAAUUCACCAUUCACAUAUGUCAUUGUUGACAACCAAAAGUGAGUGUGUUAAUCUUUGCAAUCUGUGGGGAAUUUUAUGAGGUUCUACCAUACAUAUUACUAUUAUCUUGAAGGGUCGUUGUUCUAUGAUGUUCCAGAAAAACUCGUACAUGCAUUUCCACUCAAGGAUAUCCACACAAAUCAAAAUUGUCUUCAGCCCUUGAUGGAGUAAAUAUUGUCUACUUAGAUGGAAGAUUGCAUGAGACUGCUUUUCUUGUAGCGCAAGAGGUAUACCCAUCAUCUACACUUGAUCAAAGUCAUUGAAGUAGAAGGCUGUGGAUUCUGCAUUGAUCGACAUUGAAGCAUUGCUGGAUUUGAAGGCUUAUUUGGGUGCAUCGAUCAUACUUAAGUAGUAUUGAUUAAGUAGUAUAUAUUUUCAUGAUUUAUUUAUUUAUUUAUUUUUAUUUUUUUGUAUGAUAAUAGUUCAUUGUUGGAAGUACAAUGGACAUGACCAUAAUUUUGAUGUUUAAAUAUAUUUUCAAUUU